This 29-nucleotide non-coding RNA is filed under the name Mus musculus (house mouse). Lineage: Eukaryota; Metazoa; Chordata; Mammalia; Rodentia; Muridae. The record is from RNAcentral.
UAACCUAAGAGGAUGAAGGAUGAGCAUCC